GACGAACGCUGGCGGCGUGCUUAACACAUGCAAGUCGAACGGAAAGGCCCUGCUUUUGUUGGUUGCUCGAGUGGCGAACGGGUGAGUAACACGUGAGUAACCUGCCCUUGACUUUGUGAUAACUUCAGGAAACUGGGGCUAAUACCGGAUAGGAGCUCCUGCUGCAUGGUGGUGGUUGGAAAGUUUCGGCGGUUGGGGAUGGACUCGCGGCUUAUCAGCUUGUUGGUGUGGUAGUGGCUUACCAAGGCUUUGAGGGGUAGCCGACCUGAGAGGGUGAACGGCGACCUUGGGACUGAGAUACGGCCCAGACGCCUACGGGAGGCAGAAGUGGGGAAUAUUGCACAAUGGGCGGAAGCCUGAUGCAGAAACCCCGCGUGCGGGAUGACGGCCUUCGGGUUGUAAACCGCUUUCGCAUGUGACGAAGCGUGCGUGACGGUAAUGGGUAAAGAAGCACCGGCUAACUACGUG
RNAcentral lists this ribosomal RNA (468 nucleotides) under uncultured bacterium. RNAcentral describes it as "partial 16S ribosomal RNA". It matches the Rfam family "Bacterial small subunit ribosomal RNA", at positions 28 to 507 of the family's 1533-position model. The record is from RNAcentral.